Molecule: ribosomal RNA, 441 nt
Filed under: uncultured bacterium
Lineage: Bacteria
Description: partial 16S ribosomal RNA
Rfam family: Bacterial small subunit ribosomal RNA
Source: RNAcentral
CCUACGUGAGGCAGCAGUGGGGAAUAUUGCACAAUGGGGGGAACCCUGAUGCAGCGACGCCGCGUGAGUGAAGAAGUAUUUCGGUAUGUAAAGCUCUAUCAGCAGGAACGAGACAAGACGGUACCUGACUAAGAAGCCCCGGCUAACUACGUGCCAGCAGCGGCGGUAAUACGGAGGGGGCAAGCGUUAUCCGGACUCACUGGGUGGAAAGUGAGAGUAGACGGCUGAGCAAGCCUGAAGUGAAAGGCUGGGGCCCAACCCGGGGACUGCAUUGGGAACGGUACGGCUGGAGUGCAGGAGAGGGAAGUGGAAUUCCUAGUGGAGCGGUGAAAUGCGUAGAUAUGAGGAGGAACACCAGUGGCGAAGGCAGCUUACUGGACUGUUACUGACGUUGAGGCUCGAAAGCGUGGGGAGCAAACAGGAUUAGAUACCCCAGUAGUC